AGUGAACGCUGGCGGUAGGCCUAACACAUGCAAGUCGAACGAAAGCACAGUAAGAGCUUGCUCUUACGGGUAGCGAGUGGCGGACGGGUGAGAAAUACAUAAGCAUCUACUUUUACGUGGGGGAUAACGUAGGACAACUUCCGCUAAUACCGCAUACGAUCAACGGGAGAAAGCAGGGGAUCUUCGGACCUUGCGCGUCUCAUUGAGCCGAUGUCGGAUUAGCUAGUUGGCGGGGUAAAGGCACACCAAGGCAACGAUCCGUAGCUGGUCUGAGAGGAUGAUCAGCCACACUGGAACUGAGACACGGUCCAGACUCCUACGGGAGGCAGCAGUGGGGAAUAUUGGACAAUGGGCGCAAGCCUGAUCCAGCCAUACCGCGUGGGUGAAGAAGGCCUUCGGGUUGUAAAGCCCUUUUGUUGGGGAAGAAAAGCAGUGUAAGAAUAUCCCGAUGUUCUGACGGUACCCAAAGAGUAAGCACCGGCUAACUUCGUG
This 492-nucleotide ribosomal RNA is filed under the name uncultured bacterium. Its description in RNAcentral is "partial 16S ribosomal RNA". It matches the Rfam family "Bacterial small subunit ribosomal RNA", at positions 29 to 507 of the family's 1533-position model. The record is from RNAcentral.